UACAGAGGCCCCGAGCGUUACCCGGAAUUACUGGGCGUAAAGAGUGCGUAGGUGGUUGUGUUAGUCGGCUGUUAAAUGCUCAGGGCUCAACCUUGGGAAUCCGGUCGAAACGGCACAACUCGAGGGCGUGAGAGGUACAUGGAACUCAUGGUGUAGGGGUGAAAUCCGUUGAUAUCAUGGGGAACACCGAAAGCGAAGGCAAUGUACUGGCGCGUUCCUGACACUCAAGCACGAAAGCGUGGGUAGCGAACGGG
Molecule: ribosomal RNA, 254 nt
Filed under: uncultured bacterium
Lineage: Bacteria
Description: partial 16S ribosomal RNA
Rfam family: Bacterial small subunit ribosomal RNA
Source: RNAcentral